RNAcentral lists this unclassified non-coding RNA (318 nucleotides) under Hevea brasiliensis (rubber tree). Lineage: Eukaryota; Viridiplantae; Streptophyta; Magnoliopsida; Malpighiales; Euphorbiaceae. The record is from RNAcentral.
GAUUUUUGUCCAGUACUGUGGGCUGCAUUUGGUAUUUGAUUUAGAACAGAUGGAAAUUAAAACUUCACAAAGAAAUAAUAAAGGCUAACUCUUAAUCUCCUCUCCAAAUGCUGUUGAUAUCACUUGGUAAUUUUGACAUAAUUCUCAACCAUCAUAGCUUUUGAUUGUUAAAAUUCAAACUAUAAUAAGAUACGUGAUUAUUAUUUUCUUGCUUUGAACAUCUGAGAAUUCUUUUUUAAACAACACACACGCGCGCAUAUAAGAUGUCAAAAAAGACGUAUAAGAAAUGCAAACUGCAAAAUAUUAAUAUACCUUGAA